GACGAACGCUGGCGGCGUGCUUAACACAUGCAAGUCGAACGGAAAGGCCCUGCUUUUGUGGGGUGCUCGAGUGGCGAACGGGUGAGUAACACGUGAGUAACCUGCCCUUGACUUUGGGAUAACUUCAGGAAACUGGGGCUAAUACCGGAUAGGAGCUCCUGCUGCAUGGUGGGGGUUGGAAAGUUUCGGCGGUUGGGGAUGGACUCGCGGCUUAUCAGCUUGUUGGUGGGGUAGUGGCUUACCAAGCCUUUGACGGGUAGCCGGCCUGAGAGGGUGACCGGCCACAUUGGGACUGAGAUACGGCCCAGACCCCUACGGGAGGCAGCAGUGGGGAAUAUUGCACAAUGGGCGGAAGCCUGAUGCAGCAACGCCGCGUGCGGGAUGACGGCCUUCGGGUUGUAAACCGCUUUCGCCUGUGACGAAGCGUGAGUGACGGUAAUGGGUAAAGAAGCACCGGCUAACUACGUG
Molecule: ribosomal RNA, 468 nt
Filed under: uncultured bacterium
Lineage: Bacteria
Description: partial 16S ribosomal RNA
Rfam family: Bacterial small subunit ribosomal RNA
Source: RNAcentral